UCACCUGUUUCUGUCAGUCAAACAGGAAAGCUCCAGAGAUAGACAGAUGUGUCUUCUUCUUUUAAGUCUCAUUUAUCUUUUCAUCACAUGAUCCUUCUGCUCAUUUCAGUCCAUAUUUAACAACAGGGUUUAUUUAAACACACUGUUUAGGUUCAGAUUUAAGACACUGAACUCUCAUGGUUGUGGUCUCAGUGACAUCACCUGUUGGUUUCUGUUGAGGCUUAUGGAGCUCAGACAUGGAGGUCGCCAUAUUGGAAAUUCGGACUUUAACCAACUUUCGGCUAAUCCAGAAACAAAAGAGCUGAGAUGGGCCCAUCUAACACACCAACCUGUUCUCAAGUCAACCACGCCCAUGACUUCACCAAUUCAUGAGUUCUAUAGGGACUAUAGGGACUCAAUGUUGAGAGUAGCUGGUGAAGGCUGUGGACUCGACACCCUGCAGUUCUCUGUACUGGACCGGUUUUCCACCCAGGUAGUCAUCCAGCUGAACGGUAAAGAUGGCCGCCGCAGUGCUCUCAUCCUGGCUGCAUUCCUUUCCUUUAAAGAACAAGAACAGGCAGAAGAUACAGUUUGAUAUUGUGUAGUUAAAUAAUAAAGUUAUUUAAACUCUCA
Molecule: long non-coding RNA, 612 nt
Organism: Notolabrus celidotus (New Zealand spotty)
Lineage: Eukaryota; Metazoa; Chordata; Actinopteri; Labriformes; Labridae
Exons: 2
Source: RefSeq, a predicted model, not a curated record